GGGGGCAGGGAUCAAUGAGCACCAAUAGGUCCUCUAACCUUGUCUCAUUCCCCAAAUCUUACUUCUUUCCUUCAAACUUACAUUUUUCUAGGCUUUGAAUAAUUUGUGCUUCUUGAAUGACACUAUGUUAUGAGAUGUUCUUGAUAAAACCUCCCCAGGGAGACAUCUUUAUUUUGUAAUCUAGGACUGGAUGGACCUCCAGAUAAUCUCAAUUUUGAUUUGACGGAAAUUCUUCUGCACACUAGAUUUGAAAUAGUCUGUUGAAAUAGCCUGUCUGUAAACAGGUAGAUUUUUACCACGGAGUCACCCAGGAAGCCCUGCUAUGGUGCUCAAUGAUUGCCAAGUCAGCACAUCGUAGGGGUCCUUCCUGACCCAGGAAUCUAGCUCAUGUCUCUGCAUCUCCUGCAUUGCAGGAGGAUUCUUUAUUGCUGACCCACUGGGGGAGCCCACAAUAACAACAACAACCAGUGCUAUAAUUGAAGUCCUGUGUGUUUAUUACGGAAGCCAAUAGAGUGUGCUGGCUAAUUCAAAUGACAUGGGUUCAUGUUGGCUCUACCACCUCUCACCUGUCUGUCUUUAGACAAGUUAUUUAACUUCAGAUUAAUAUUGUUUGAAAAA
Molecule: long non-coding RNA, 618 nt
Organism: Bos taurus (domestic cattle)
Lineage: Eukaryota; Metazoa; Chordata; Mammalia; Artiodactyla; Bovidae
Source: Ensembl